CUUGGACAGUGGUUUCCCCAGAGGGCAGCAGGGGUCUAAAGGAACUACUAUCAGAUGAGACUUCCUGCACGUGUGCUUGACACCUGCCUGCACACCUGUCUGGUGGAGGUGAGCUGCUGGUCCCAUCUCUUCCCUGUUCUGUGCUUGGCAACAUCACUGGGCAGAUGGAAACUGCCUGCAGUGGAGGUAUUCACACCAAGGAGAGACGCAACCGCUACGUGGAGGGGCUUCUCCCUGGGAACAGGUAAUUAGUAAUUUUCCAAGGUCCCUCCCUGGAGAUGCUUGAGGUCACUAGUGUCCUC
RNAcentral lists this long non-coding RNA (302 nucleotides) under Bos indicus x Bos taurus (hybrid cattle). Its description in RNAcentral is "lncRNA (ENSBIXG00000018788.1)". Lineage: Eukaryota; Metazoa; Chordata; Mammalia; Artiodactyla; Bovidae. The record is from RNAcentral.